GACGAACGCUGGCGGCGCGCCUAACACAUGCAAGUCGAACGGAGCUACCUUUUCGGAAGUUUUCGGAUGGAAGAGGAAGUAGCUUAGUGGCGAACGGGUGAGUAACACGUGAGGAACCUGCCUUAGAGAGGGGGACAACAGUUGGAAACGACUGCUAAUACCGCAUAAGCCCACGGUGCCGCAUGGCACAGGGGGAAAAGGAGAAAUCCGCUUUAAGAUGGACUCGCGUCCAAUUAGCUAGAUGGUGAGGUAAAGGCUCACCAUGGCGACGAUUGGUAGCCGGACUGAGAGGUUGAACGGCCACAUUGGGACUGAGACACGGCCCAGACUCCUACGGGAGGCAGCAGUGGGGAAUAUUGCACAAUGGGGGAAACCCUGAUGCAGCGACGCCGCGUGGAGGAAGAAGGUUUUCGGAUUGUAAACUCCUGUCUUCGGGGACGAUAAUGACGGUACCCGAGGAGGAAGCCACGGCUAACUACGUGCCAGCAGCCGCGGUAAAACGUAGGUGGCAAGCGUUGUCCGGAAUUACUGGGUGUAAAGGGAGCGCAGGCGGGUCGGUAAGUUGGGAGUGAAAACUAUGGGCUCAACCCAUAAAUUGCUUUCAAAACUGCUGAUCUUGAGUGGUGUAGAGGUAGGCGGAAUUCCCGGUGUAGCGGUGGAAUGCGUAGAUAUCGGGAGGAACACCAGUGGCGAAGGCGGCCUACUGGGCACUAACUGACGCUGAGGCUCGAAAGCAUGGGUAGCAAACAGG
Molecule: ribosomal RNA, 751 nt
Filed under: uncultured Oscillospiraceae bacterium
Lineage: Bacteria; Bacillati; Bacillota; Clostridia; Eubacteriales; Oscillospiraceae
Description: bacterial SSU rRNA
Rfam family: Bacterial small subunit ribosomal RNA
Source: RNAcentral